Passer domesticus (house sparrow) is the source of this 648-nucleotide long non-coding RNA. RefSeq lists it as uncharacterized. Lineage: Eukaryota; Metazoa; Chordata; Aves; Passeriformes; Passeridae. The transcript has 2 exons. The record is from RefSeq and is a predicted model, not a curated record.
CUUAAAUAUGGAUCAGGUGGGCAGGUGUAGCUUGAAUAUCUCCUUAGCAGAGGGGCUGUUGGUUGCUGUGCUCUCUUCACUCUUAGACCUGACUUGGUAACUCAGAUGAGGAUGUUGGCUGAUGGAAUUCCUCUUUGGGAAGCUCUUCUACUGUGCCUUGGAGCUGCAGAAUAAAGCACUGUGUGUCAGAUGAAUAACUGGGAUUAUUAGAAGCAGAUGAGAAAGCAGGAGCACAUAAACUUUAAUGUAGCCUAUUCUUCUGCACUGGUGUCACUCCAUGAGACUUCUUCUAGAUUUGGGACUUUUUUAAGGCUUUCAAAUGGCUGAGGAUUUGCUGGUUGGAUUUUAUUUGAAAUAUUUUAAAAUGAAUGGGCAACAACUAUUACAAAAAGGAAAUAUCUCUGAGACACUGAUAAAACAGCAGAAUGUAAAUGAGCUGUCCUUUGCACCAUUCAGUGGUUUUAGUAGAGCAAAAAUACAAAAGAUAUAAACUCACAUUGCAGAGGAUGCCUAACCCUUUAUGAUCUUCUCUGUCAUCUGUUCUUAUUUGCUUCUUAUUUUCUUAGAUUCUUCAGCUGCCUAUUCAUAUUUAGAUAGCUCCAUAUCUGGAUCUGAUCUGUGUAAAUAAAAAUCUCCAUCUCUGCUUUC